ACAAGCGGCGGAGCAUGCGGAUUAAUUCGAUGCAACGCGAAGAACCUUACCAAGGCUUGACAUACACCGGUAACGCCCAGAGAUGGGUGCCCCUUUGUGGUCGGUGUACAGGUGGUGCAUGGUUGUCGUCAGCUCGUGUCGUGAGAUGUUGGGUUAAGUCCCGCAACGAGCGCAACCCUCGUCCUAUGUUGCCAGCGGGUCAUGCCGGGGACUCAUGGGAGACUGCCGGGGUCAACUCGGAGGAAGGUGGGGAUGACGUCAAAUCAUCAUGCCCCUUAUGUCUUGGGCUUCACGCAUGCUACAAUGGCCGGUACAAAGGGCUGCGAUACCGCGAGGUGGAGCGAAUCCCAGAAAGCCGGUCUCAGUUCGGAUUGGGGUCUGCAACUCGACCCCAUGAAGUCGGAGUCGCUAGUAAUCGCAGAUCAGCAACGCUGCGGUGAAUACGUUCCCGGGCCUU
Molecule: ribosomal RNA, 457 nt
Filed under: uncultured Curtobacterium sp.
Lineage: Bacteria; Bacillati; Actinomycetota; Actinomycetes; Micrococcales; Microbacteriaceae
Description: bacterial SSU rRNA
Rfam family: Bacterial small subunit ribosomal RNA
Source: RNAcentral